UGACAGUACUCCUACGGGGAGGCAGCAGUGGGGGAAUAUUGCACAAUGGGCGCAAGCCUGAUGCAGCCAUGCCGCGUGUGUGAAGAAGGCCUUCGGGUUGUAAAGCACUUUCAGUCGUGAGGAAGGUGGUAGUGUUAAUAGCACUAUCAUUUGACGUUAGCGACAGAAGAAGCACCGGCUAACUCCGUGCCAGCAGCCGCGGUAAUACGGAGGGUGCGAGCGUUAAUCGGAAUUACUGGGCGUAAAGCGCAUGCAGGUGGUUUGUUAAGUCAGAUGUGAAAGCCCGGGGCUCAACCUCGGAAUAGCAUUUGAAACUAGGCAGACUAGAGUACUGUAGAGGGGGGUAGGAAUUUCAGGUGUAGCGGUGAAAUGCGUAGAGAUCUGAAGGAAUACCGGUGGCGAAGGCGGCCCCCUGGACAGAUACUGACACUCAGAUGCGAAAGCGUGGGGAGCAAACAGGAUUAGAUACCCUGGUAG
RNAcentral lists this ribosomal RNA (477 nucleotides) under uncultured bacterium. RNAcentral's name for it is "bacterial SSU rRNA". It matches the Rfam family "Bacterial small subunit ribosomal RNA", at positions 328 to 793 of the family's 1533-position model. The record is from RNAcentral.